UUAUUCCUCUCGUGCGGGUUACUUACGGCCUUCCUAUCGCAAUUAAGGUACGGACUCUAAGCAACUUAUGUGGGCAAAUUGGAACAUUUUAUAGAAACUCCUUUGACUGCCCAUAUCCCUCCCCUCUACGUUCACUUACUUUUCCGACGUAAAAUCCAUCAUCCGCUAAUCACUGAAUCAAUUACGGAUGACUUGCCAAACAAACUCCAUCUCGAACCAAGAAAAAUCGAGAUUCGGUCACGCGUUUUCAAGCUGUCUUAGUUUCCUAUUUUGAGUUCAAUCAUCGGCCUAAAUUAGACGAGAUUCCUAAGCGAUAAACUGCGUCUGGAGACCUAUAAGUAGAGGUGGUGCUUACUCGUUACGAACACGCCUCUCACCUUUCUGUUCCUCACCCCAAAUCGGCCCCUUUUGUCAAGUUCCGCCGCCGCCGCAAGUACUCCGACGAAACCAGUAACCAUCGAACUGAUUGAGGAUUUGCAACAUUUAUUCCUCUCGUGCGGGUUACUUACGGCCUUCCUAUCGCAAUUAAG
RNAcentral lists this long non-coding RNA (530 nucleotides) under Helianthus annuus (common sunflower). Lineage: Eukaryota; Viridiplantae; Streptophyta; Magnoliopsida; Asterales; Asteraceae. The record is from RNAcentral.